CUCCGCUUCGGCAACUUAAGGAGGAUCUUCUCCCGAGGAUUCCUCAAUUGAGUGACAACAGGCAUGCGAUGAUGCCACGGAAUAAUUGUCAGCAAUUGUUACGAUAAGAGAUACGAAAGACGAACAUAGGGAGAGAAUGAAGAAGUGUCGUCGACGAAUGACUAUUCUAUUCGCGAGACGGAAAAUGGCUCCUUCUCCGUCUCGCCUUCCUCCCUGUCCCUCAUCGUGCGCGAGGGAGUUCUCUGUGGAACAUUCAAUGUAGGCCAGGGGAGCAAGCAUUUACCGUCGAACUAAGCACUUCCCAUCGUCGUACCCGCCGCCCAUUGUCCUGUCAUUAUCUCGAAUAAUUAGUGAUUAGUACUCCAGUGACACAGUAAUUGCCGCACAAGAGCAAAGACUACGAAGUGUACAGGAUACGGGGAGAAGGUUACAUUCUAUGCUUAUAAUGGUUCUGUUCAAUUUAUUACUAUCGUCAUCCAAGGUCUCGUUCGAUGCUAAUUUCGAUAACGAGUCCGUGAACAUGCGUACGCAUGGAUAAUGCAGAAGAAUACCUGUGAGCAGACCCGGGCGAAUUUUACUUCCGCAACUGACGAACCAAAAAUAAAAUUGGACUCGAAGAUUUUCAAAUAGCCAAACCUGCAAAAGUAGAUCGUGCUCAAGGUUUGCUGUAAAUUUAGUCGACAAUUCGCUAACAGAAACGCACGGGAUCCGCUAACAGAAUACAGAUGACAAAUUGAUCAUAAAUACCGAACAGAAUCUGUCGUUUCGUAGUCAUUUCGGUGGAUUUAAAUGGAAUGUACCGCAGAUUCUUUUCGGCUUUUGCCGCCGAUUUGCUGUCGAAUUGUGUCAGCAAACUCCGUCGAGAGAACAUGAACUUAGUGGAUAUUACAGAUCUGUUACGAUAUUCAGAUUGAAUCUAUUGGCAAUCUGCUGGCAUACCGCUAACAUUUUACUUAUUGGAUUGAUUCGGAAACAAUGAAUAAAUUCUUGCGAUCGCUUGCGUCAGACUUCAUCCGGAUAGUAGCGAAUUUUGUCGACGUGGAGACACUAAA
Harpegnathos saltator (Jerdon's jumping ant) is the source of this 1052-nucleotide long non-coding RNA. RefSeq lists it as uncharacterized. Lineage: Eukaryota; Metazoa; Arthropoda; Insecta; Hymenoptera; Formicidae. The transcript is spliced from 2 exons. The record is from RefSeq and is a predicted model, not a curated record.